UUAAUGUUCUGUAGGAUAUGUAGAAGGAGCAGUGAAGUUUAAGUCAGAUAAAAGAAAGCAAAGAAAGUAUUCUUUUUAGAUCGGCAUAGAACUGAUUAUGUUAAGCACAAUAGACGGAUAAACUUAUAAUAAUUAUAGAAGUUAGGGAUAGAACUGAUUAUGUUAGUUAUGAAAUGAAAACUAAAAAGAAAAAUAUUAUGGUGUAUAUGUGAUCAUUAUUUGUAAUGCAGUAAUUAAUAUAGAUGAAUAAGACCUUAAUAUACCAAAAACCCUCAAAAGCGCACUUACAUAUGCAUAUGAGAAUAUGAUCUCCAAGCUUUCUUCGGAUCUGGCUGUGAAUUGCUUCCAUGAGUGAAGCACUUUGAUUUGAAUCCGCCAAAAAGUUUUAAAAGGUUUAAUCUUGCUAAGAAAACUUAAUUUUACGACUGAUUAGUCUUUUUUUGUUAUUUGUGGUGAAUGCUUUUGUCAAGCUAUUGAUGAAUGUAGUUUUAUACCAUCUAUACCAUUUCAGCAUAUUCGUCAGUUUGUUAGAAACUAACGAUUUGUUUCGUUUCUGUGUCACAAAAAUUGAUUUGUGGAAGAUUGAGAACUAUAAUGAUUGGGCGCUAGUUUUUCUGCUUUAAUAUUUAGAUAUUAAGGUUUACGAUUUUUUUAUUUUUCUAAUUUCUAUUGUUUGUUAUUGAUUUGAAAAAGAUUUGCAACUACGAUAACAACCGGCACAGUAUUUGAAUAGUUAAAAAGAAAUUGGUAUAAUAAUAAAUUUGUUAU
This 768-nucleotide long non-coding RNA is filed under the name Brassica napus (rape). RNAcentral describes it as "long non-coding RNA (BNAP_LNC021585)". Lineage: Eukaryota; Viridiplantae; Streptophyta; Magnoliopsida; Brassicales; Brassicaceae. The record is from RNAcentral.